This 587-nucleotide ribosomal RNA is filed under the name uncultured bacterium. RNAcentral's name for it is "bacterial SSU rRNA". It matches the Rfam family "Bacterial small subunit ribosomal RNA", at positions 31 to 613 of the family's 1533-position model. The record is from RNAcentral.
GAACGCUGGCGGNUGCUUACACAUGCAAGUCGAACGGCAGCACGGGAGCUUGCUCCUGGUGGCGAGUGGCGGACGGGUGAGUAACGCGUAGGAAUCUACCCAGUGGUGGGGGACAACCCGAGGAAACUCGGGCUAAUACCGCAUGAGCCCUACGGGGGAAAGCGGGGGAUCUUCGGACCUCGCGCCAUUGGAUGAGCCUGCGUCGGAUUAGCUUGUUGGUGAGGUAAUGGCUCACCAAGGCGACGAUCCGUAGCUGGUCUGAGAGGAUGAUCAGCCACACUGGGACUGAGACACGGCCCAGACUCCUACGGGAGGCAGCAGUGGGGAAUAUUGGACAAUGGGCGAAAGCCUGAUCCAGCAAUGCCGCGUGUGCGAAGAAGGCCCUCGGGUUGUAAAGCACUUUCAGUUGGGAAGAAAGCUUCAGCGUUAAUACCGCUGAAGGGUGACGUAACCAACAGAAGAAGCACCGGCUAACUCUGUGCCAGCAGCCGCGGUAAUACAGAGGGUGCGAGCGUUAAUCGGAAUUACUGGGCGUAAAGGGCGCGUAGGCGGCUUGGUAAGUCGGAUGUGAAAGCCCCGGGCUUAAC